This 433-nucleotide ribosomal RNA is filed under the name uncultured bacterium. RNAcentral's name for it is "partial 16S ribosomal RNA". It matches the Rfam family "Bacterial small subunit ribosomal RNA", at positions 29 to 507 of the family's 1533-position model. The record is from RNAcentral.
AGCGAACGCUGGCGGCAGGCCUAACACAUGCAAGUCGAACGAACUCUUCGGAGUUAGUGGCGGACGGGUGAGUAACACGUGGGAACGUGCCUUUUGGUUCGGAAUAACUCAGGGAAACUUGUGCUAAUACCGAAUGUGCCCUUCGGGGGAAAGAUUUAUCGCCAUUAGAGCGGCCCGCGUCUGAUUAGCUAGUUGGUGAGGUAACGGCUCACCAAGGCGACGAUCAGUAGCUGGUCUGAGAGGAUGACCAGCCACACUGGGACUGAGACACGGCCCAGACUGCUACGGGAGGCAGCAGUGGGGAAUCUUGCGCAAUGGGCGAAAGCCUGACGCAGCCAUGCCGCGUGAAUGAUGAAGGUCCUAGGAUUGUAAAAUUCUUUCACCGGGGACGAUAAUGACGGUACCCGGAGAAGAAGCCCCGGCUAACUUCGUG